AUUGAACGCUGGCGACAUGCCUUACACAUGCAAGUCGAACGGCAGCACGGGUGCUUGCCCCUGGUGGCGAGUGGCGAACGGGUGAGUAAUACAUCGGAACAUGUCCUGUAGUGGGGGAUAGCCCGGCGAAAGCCGGAUUAAUACCGCACACGAUCUACGGAUGAAAGCGGGGGACCUUCGGGCCUCGCGCUAUAGGGUUGGCCGAUGGCUGAUUAGCUAGUUGGUGGGGUAAAGGCCUACCAAGGCGACGAUCAGUAGCUGGUCUGAGAGGACGACCAGUCACACUGGGACUGAGACACGGCCCAGACUCCUACGGGAGGCAGCAGUGGGGAAUUUUGGACAAUGGGCGAAAGCCUGAUCCAGCAAUGCCGCGUGUGUGAAGAAGGCCUUCGGGUUGUAAAGCACUUUUGUCCGGAAAGAAAUCCUUGGCCCUAAUACGGUCGGGGGAUGACGGUACCAGAAGAAUAAGCACCGGCUAACUACGUG
Molecule: ribosomal RNA, 486 nt
Filed under: uncultured bacterium
Lineage: Bacteria
Description: partial 16S ribosomal RNA
Rfam family: Bacterial small subunit ribosomal RNA
Source: RNAcentral